UCAAAACAGCGGCCUUCGGGCCUCGCUGCACCCUUGUCUUUUGCGCACCGUAUUGUUUCCUCGGCGGGCUUGCCCGCCGGUUGGACAUCAUAAGACCUUUUUGUAGUUGCAAUCAGCGUCAGAAAAACAAUAAUUAUUA
This 139-nucleotide unclassified non-coding RNA is filed under the name soil metagenome. RNAcentral describes it as "partial internal transcribed spacer 1". The record is from RNAcentral.